CAACUACUCCCUCUGUCCCAAAUUUCUUGUCUUAGAUUUGUCUAGAUACGGAUGUAUCUAAUACUAAAAUGUGACUUGAUACAUCCGUAUCUAGACAAAUCUAAGACAGGAAUUUUGGGGCGGAGGGAGUACUUU
This is a non-coding RNA of Triticum aestivum (bread wheat), 135 nucleotides long. Lineage: Eukaryota; Viridiplantae; Streptophyta; Magnoliopsida; Poales; Poaceae. The record is from Rfam.